This 68-nucleotide transfer RNA is filed under the name Trachypithecus poliocephalus (white-headed langur). Its description in RNAcentral is "tRNA-Trp". Lineage: Eukaryota; Metazoa; Chordata; Mammalia; Primates; Cercopithecidae. The record is from RNAcentral.
AGAAAUUUAGGUUAUAUAAGACCGAAAGCCUUCAAAGCUUUUAGUAAGUUAAACAUACUUAAUUUCUG